AACUUUGCACAGUGGCAGUUUGUAGCCAGUGAGGUUUAUCCAAAGUACAAUUGUUGCUAAUUGAAAAAAUGAGAAUAGGUUAAGUGAUCUCUUGGAUAAUAUAGUGAAUAAAUAUUCAUAUU
RNAcentral lists this small nuclear RNA (122 nucleotides) under Felis catus (domestic cat). Its description in RNAcentral is "U4 spliceosomal RNA". It matches the Rfam family "U4 spliceosomal RNA". Rfam says of the family: U4 small nuclear RNA (U4 snRNA) is a component of the major U2-dependent spliceosome. The structure of U4 snRNA from yeast and human has been reported. The record is from Rfam by way of RNAcentral. Lineage: Eukaryota; Metazoa; Chordata; Mammalia; Carnivora; Felidae.